Molecule: ribosomal RNA, 254 nt
Filed under: uncultured bacterium
Lineage: Bacteria
Description: partial 16S ribosomal RNA
Rfam family: Bacterial small subunit ribosomal RNA
Source: RNAcentral
CACGUAGGGUGCGAGCGUUGUCCGGAAUUAUUGGGCGUAAAGAGCUCGUAGGCGGUGUGUCGCGUCGGCCGUGAAAACCUGCAGCUUAACUGUGGGCUUGCGGUCGAUACGGGCAUCACUGGAGUUCGGCAGGGGAGACUGGAAUUCCUGGUGUAGCGGUGAAAUGCGCAGAUAUUAGGAAGAACACCGGUGGCGAAGGCGGCUCUCUGGAACGGUACUGACGCUGAGACGCGAAAGCGUGGGGAGCGAACAGG